UGGGCUACCCCAGGCUGGCCUGUAACUUGUGGUGAUCCUCCUGCCUCUGCCUCCUGAGUGCUCGGUGUCAGUUUGAGGAAGAAACAUUUGGAUCACCAUAGUUCCGGGUGUGCGUGACACCAGCCAGUCUUGUCACCUGAACGGAAGAAAGGGGAAACAAAAAGGCAGCCUGGCUACUGUUUCUUUGGAGGAGCUCCAGGCUUCACCCUCAGCUUGGACAUCACAGUCCCUUUGGCCUCCUGAUGCAGACUCUCCUGGGACACUGCGACGGCGACGUCUCAGAGAGGAAGGACGGCCACCUGAACUAGCACCCAAGGCAGCAAGUCCCGGUGACUGAAGCCCAGUCCUCCACAGAUGCCCCCACCCUGUUGGACAGCUCCUAUCAGCCUUGGUUCAGUGACCUUCAGAGGUACUAGAUCGUUCCUCCAUGUCCUCAAAUCCUCAGGACCAUUUGAGAUUGAUGACGCAGGUGGGCCUUCUCCAAAG
Molecule: long non-coding RNA, 486 nt
Organism: Fukomys damarensis (Damara mole-rat)
Lineage: Eukaryota; Metazoa; Chordata; Mammalia; Rodentia; Bathyergidae
Exons: 3
Source: RefSeq, a predicted model, not a curated record